Long non-coding RNA from Dreissena polymorpha, 1030 nucleotides. RefSeq lists it as uncharacterized. Lineage: Eukaryota; Metazoa; Mollusca; Bivalvia; Myida; Dreissenidae. The transcript is spliced from 3 exons. The record is from RefSeq and is a predicted model, not a curated record.
UACAUACGGGUCUUUGCGACCUCGUUUGAGACCGUGCGCAGUUAGAAUUGUACAUUGCCUCGUGUGAAGAUUAUCGGUUAUGGCAGGCGCGUGUGUUCUACAGAGUUCAAGUGCACAGUUAAUUGGAUACUGCUCGAGAGAUUAAGGUUGCAAAGGCGUGCAUGGAAUGGCGUGCCUUCAUAGCGGCCUGUUUCUACAGGAAGAAAGUGAUUGGCAGUACGGAAUUUGAAGAUAUUUUGGGACUCAUCCGGGUGAAUUUUGAUCAGGUCAGAUGCACUAUUCGCGACAAUGACGGUGUCAUCUGCAUACAACAGGACCAGAAGCUUAAACCACGAUAUUGCAGUAUCUGGGUUGAUAAGUUCAACCCCAACGGAUCCAUUUAUAUGCAGGUAUGAGUGAAGGUCAUUUAAGAAAAGUGAGAAUAGGACUGGGGAUAGAUUUUCGCCUUGUCUGACACCUAUUUAUGACAAGAAGUACUGGGAGCAUUCUCCAUUAAAGGAAAUGCAUGAUGUUAUGUUUCUGUACAUGUUUAAAAGGACUCGAAAAAAGUUACCAUUAAUUUGUGUGCCAAGUAUUUUGUGCCAGAGACCAGCUCUCCAAACUUUAUCGAGCGCCUGAGAAAAAUCGAUGAAGGCGCAGAAGAAGGCUAAGGCUUUUAUUUUUAAAUCAACUGGUGUUGUCGAGCUCCAAAGAAAGCCAAGCAAUCAGAUGAACUAAACCGCGUUUUCCAUCAGGAAAAUUCAUGUUCUCAGCGUUGGUAUAUUCAACAAAUCGAAUGACGACAAAAUUGUAAUAUAUCUUUUUCACUUCAAAAUUCAGUUUUAAAGGAUGAUUAGCAAUACACAUUGAUUGUAAAUGUACGAGUAUUGUCAAUAAAUUGCAGUCAAUUUUGUCAAAGUGUAAUUUGUUUAAGAUCUUUGAUAAGACACUGGUCGUUUAUUUUUCACAGCGUUCACAAACAAUCAUCUAGAUUGUAUGCAUUUACAACAGUAUAACUAUCAUGUAUGAUCAAUUAAAUGGUAUCUUUUCA